RNAcentral lists this ribosomal RNA (1249 nucleotides) under 'Crotalaria juncea' shoot proliferation phytoplasma. RNAcentral's name for it is "bacterial SSU rRNA". It matches the Rfam family "Bacterial small subunit ribosomal RNA", at positions 153 to 1399 of the family's 1533-position model. Lineage: Bacteria; Bacillati; Mycoplasmatota; Mollicutes; Acholeplasmatales; Acholeplasmataceae. The record is from RNAcentral.
GAAACGGUUGCUAAGACUGGAUAGGAAACAGAAAGGCAUCUUUUUGUUUUUAAAAGACCUUCUUCGAAGGUAUGCUUAAAGAUGGGCUUGCGCCACAUUAGUUAGUUGGUAGGGUAAUGGCCUACCAAGACGAUGAUGUGUAGCUGGACUGAGAGGUUGAACAGCCACAUUGGGACUGAGACACGGCCCAAACUCCUACGGGAGGCAGCAGUAGGGAAUUUUCGGCAAUGGAGGAAACUCUGACCGAGCAACGCCGCGUGAAUGAUGAAGUAUUUCGGUAUGUAAAGUUCUUUUAUUGAAGAAGAAAAAAUAAUGGAAAAAUUAUCUUGACGUUAUUCAAUGAAUAAGCCCCGGCUAACUAUGUGCCAGCAGCCGCGGUAAGACAUAGGGGGCGAGCGUUAUCCGGAAUUAUUGGGCGUAAAGGGUGCGUAGGCGGUUAGGAAAGUCUAUAAUUUAAUUUCAGUGCUUAACGCUGUCUUGUUAUAGAAACUACCUUGACUAGAGUCAGAUAGAGGCAAGCGGAAUUCCAUGUGUAGCGGUAAAAUGUGUAAAUAUAUGGAGGAACACCAGAAGCGUAGGCGGCUUGCUGGGUCUUGACUGACGCUGAGGCACGAAAGCGUGGGUAGCAAACAGGAUUAGAUACCCUGGUAGUCCACGCCGUAAACGAUGAGUACUAAGUGUCGGGAUAAAACUCGGUACUGAAGUUAACACAUUAAGUACUCCGCCUGAGUAGUACGUACGCAAGUAUGAAACUUAAAGGAAUUGACGGGACUCCGCACAAGCGGUGGAUCAUGUUGUUUAAUUCGAAGAUACACGAAAAAUCUUACCAGGUCUUGACAUGCUCUGCAAAGCUAUAGAAAUAUAGUGGAGGUUAUCAGGGACACAGGUGGUGCAUGGUUGUCGUCAGUUCGUGUCGUGAGAUGUUAGGUUAAGUCCUAAAACGAACGCAACCCUUGUCGUUAAUUGCCAGCACGUAAUGGUGGGGACUUUAGCGAGACUGCCAAUUAAAAAUUGGAGGAAGGUGAGGAUUACGUCAAAUCAUCAUGCCCCUUAUGAUCUGGGCUACAAACGUGAUACAAUGGCUGUUACAAAGAGCAGCUGAAGCGCGAGUUUUUAGCAAAUCUCAAAAAAGCAGUCUCAGUUCGGAUUGAAGUCUGUAACUCGACUUCAUGAAGUUGGAAUCGCUAGUAAUCGCGAAUCAGCAUGUCGCGGUGAAUACGUUCUCGGGGUUUGUACACACCGCCCGUCA